GGGUUGCUAUCGUUGGUCGGGCUAUUGUCUGUACUGGCGUGUAGAAUUUCUACCUUCUGGGGAACUAUUAUGUUAUUAAUUUAACGUGGUAGGAAACCAGGACCUUUACCUUGAAAAAAUUAGAGUGUUCAAAGCAGGCUUAUGUCUGAAUACAUUAGCAUGGAAUAAUAAAAUAGGACGGUGGUCCUGUUUUGUUGGUUUCUGAAUCACCGUAAUGAUUAAUAGGGAUAGUUGGGCUGA
Molecule: ribosomal RNA, 240 nt
Filed under: uncultured Glomeromycotina
Lineage: Eukaryota; Fungi; Glomeromycota
Description: partial 18S ribosomal RNA
Rfam family: Eukaryotic small subunit ribosomal RNA (bases 47-240)
Source: RNAcentral